This 468-nucleotide ribosomal RNA is filed under the name uncultured bacterium. RNAcentral's name for it is "partial 16S ribosomal RNA". It matches the Rfam family "Bacterial small subunit ribosomal RNA", at positions 28 to 507 of the family's 1533-position model. The record is from RNAcentral.
GACGAACGCUGGCGGCGUGCCUAACACAUGCAAGUCGAACGGAAAGGCCCUGCUUUUGUGGGGUGCUCGAGUGGCGAACGGGUGAGUAACACGUGAGCAACCUGCCCUUGACUUUGGGAUAACUUCAGGAAACUGGGGCUAAUACCGGAUAGGAGCUCCUGCUGCAUGGUGGGGGUUGGAAAGUUUCGGCGGUUGGGGAUGGACUCGCGGCUUAUCAGCUUGUUGGUGGGGUAGUGGCUUACCAAGGCUUUGACGGGUAGCCGGCCUGAGAGGGUGACCGGCCACAUUGGGACUGAGAUACGGCCCAGACUCCUACGGGAGGCAGCAGUGGGGAAUAUUGCACAAUGGGCGGAAGCCUGAUGCAGCAACGCCGCGUGCGGGAUGACGGCCUUCGGGUUGUAAACCGCUUUCGCCUGUGACGAAGCGUGAGUGACGGUAAUGGGUAAAGAAGCACCGGCUAACUACGUG